This 482-nucleotide ribosomal RNA is filed under the name uncultured bacterium. RNAcentral describes it as "bacterial SSU rRNA". It matches the Rfam family "Bacterial small subunit ribosomal RNA", at positions 903 to 1397 of the family's 1533-position model. The record is from RNAcentral.
AAAUGAAUUGACGGGGACCCGCACAAGCAGCGGAGCGUGUGGUUUAAUUCGAGGCUACGCGAAGAACCUUACCAGGGCUUGACAUAUAGCUGGUAGUGAGUCGAAAGAUAAACGACCCUUCGGGGAGGCUAUACAGGUGCUGCAUGGCUGUCGUCAGCUCGUGCCGUGAGGUGUUAGGUUAAGUCCUGUAACGAGCGCAACCCUCGUCGUUAGUUACAUGUGUCUAACGAGACUGCCGGUGAUAAGCCGGAGGAAGGUGGGGAUGACGUCAAGUCAGCAUGGCCUUUAUGUCCUGGGCUACACACACGCUACAAUGGCCAGUACAAUGGGUUGCCAAGCCGCGAGGCGGAGCCAAUCCCCCAAAGCUGGUCUCAGUUCGGAUUGUAGGCUGCAACUCGCCUGCAUGAAGUCGGAGUUGCUAGUAACCGCGCGUCAGCAACAGUGCGGUGAAUACGUUCCCGGGUCUUGUACACACCGCCCGU